Long non-coding RNA from Hypanus sabinus (Atlantic stingray), 993 nucleotides. RefSeq lists it as uncharacterized. The transcript is spliced from 3 exons. The record is from RefSeq and is a predicted model, not a curated record. NCBI's taxonomy places the organism in Eukaryota, Metazoa, Chordata, Chondrichthyes, Myliobatiformes, Dasyatidae.
UGAAUUAAUAUGAACAAUUCUCUACGCCUUUAACGUGCUCGAACGGGCUGAGAUGAGUCCUCAAACCAGUUUCCCGACUAUCAUCAGGCUUUUAAAACACACAUGCGACAGUGUAAAGCGCUCGUUGGGCCGUUACCAAGAGAAUUGCGGGCGCUAAUCCUUGGGAGUAGUGGAGGGUGCAGAAGAGACUGCAAUACGCAGACUGCGAGUGGGCAUCACGGGCACCACCUUGCCACACAUCUUCAAAAGAGCGGCAUCCAUCACAAAGGACCCCCGCCAUCCGGGACAUCCUCUCCUCUCAUCGGGGAGGAGGCACAGGAGCCUGAAGACACACACUCAAUAAUUCAGAAACAACUUCCUCCCUUCCGCCAUCAGAAUAGUCUAUAGGACCAAAAAUACAUGAACACCACGAACCCAUGAAUUCUACCUCGCUAUUCUAUUUCGCAGGAUUUGUUUUUCUUACAUUAUAACUUAAUAUUUUUUAUGUCUUGCUGCCACAAAACAACACAUUUCACGAUAUAUGUCGGUGAUAAUAAGCCUGAUUUUGAUGAGUGGAAGCAGGCACCGAGUCGAUACAACAGUGUGAGUGAAGGAAGGUGGGCCAGAGAGAGCGAUAUGGGAUGCUGAUCACAGAGAUCUAGGGUUCACAGGAGUUUACUGGAAUUUCUCUAGAGAUAAUGGAUUCAAGAUGCUAGUUAGACCGGAGAGGCUGGGCAACAGAACAAGCAGGGAAUAGGUCCCGGCCGGUGCGGGGAGGAGACGGAGGCGGCAAAUGCUGGAAUCUGAAUGGGCACACGAUUUGCUGCAGGAACUCAGCGGGUCAGGUAGCAUCUGUGGAGGGAAAAUGGACAGCUGACCAGCUCGGGUCAAGACCCUUCAUCUGGACUCGAUGAAAGGUCUCGAUCUCAAAACGUUGACCGUCCAUUGGUCUCCACUGACCACCUCAUCGCCCGGGCCCGCGCCCAGGAGCUUCUUCAGCAUCUGUAUGUUGUU